RNAcentral lists this transfer RNA (76 nucleotides) under Staphylococcus aureus. RNAcentral describes it as "tRNA-Thr". It matches the Rfam family "tRNA". From Rfam's summary of the family: Transfer RNA (tRNA) molecules are approximately 80 nucleotides in length. Their secondary structure includes four short double-helical elements and three loops (D, anti-codon, and T loops). Further hydrogen bonds mediate the characteristic L-shaped molecular structure. tRNAs have two regions of fundamental functional importance: the anti-codon, which is responsible for specific mRNA codon recognition, and the 3' end, to which the tRNAs corresponding amino acid is attached (by aminoacyl-tRNA synthetases). tRNAs cope with the degeneracy of the genetic code in two manners: having more than one tRNA (with a specific anti-codon) for a particular amino acid; and 'wobble' base-pairing, i.e. permitting non-standard base-pairing at the 3rd anti-codon position. The record is from RNAcentral. Lineage: Bacteria; Bacillati; Bacillota; Bacilli; Caryophanales; Staphylococcaceae. RNAcentral also lists the same sequence under 1 other name.
GCCGGCCUAGCUCAAUUGGUAGAGCAACUGACUUGUAAUCAGUAGGUUGGGGGUUCAAGUCCUCUGGCCGGCUCCA